UGAGUAACACGUAUCCAACCUGCCGUCUACUCUUGGACAGCCUUCUGAAAGGAAGAUUAAUACAAGAUGGCAUCAUGAGUUCACAUGUUCACAUGAUUAAAGGUAUUCCGGUAGACGAUGGGGAUGCGUCCCAUUAGAUAGUAGGCGGGGUAACGGCCCACCUAGUCUUCGAUGGAUAGGGGUUCUGAGAGGAAGGUCCCCCACAUUGGAACUGAGACACGGUCCAA
RNAcentral lists this ribosomal RNA (227 nucleotides) under uncultured bacterium. RNAcentral describes it as "partial 16S ribosomal RNA". It matches the Rfam family "Bacterial small subunit ribosomal RNA", at positions 107 to 334 of the family's 1533-position model. The record is from RNAcentral.